This 64-nucleotide transfer RNA is filed under the name Thor amboinensis. Its description in RNAcentral is "tRNA-Asp". Lineage: Eukaryota; Metazoa; Arthropoda; Malacostraca; Decapoda; Hippolytidae. The record is from RNAcentral.
UUAAAAUUAGUUAAUUUAUAACAUAAGCUUGUCAAGCUUAAAUUAUCUUUCAAGAUAUUUUAAA